Molecule: non-coding RNA, 74 nt
Organism: Podarcis lilfordi (Lilford's wall lizard)
Lineage: Eukaryota; Metazoa; Chordata; Lepidosauria; Squamata; Lacertidae
Source: the annotation of a GenBank genome assembly
GGGGUCGUAGCUCAGUGGUACAGGAUCUGCUUUGCAUGCAGAAGGUCCUAGGUUCAGUCCCCAAUGGGAUCUCC